AACUAGCUCACCGCUUUAUUUCUCUGAGUUAUUCAGUAAAUAGGAAAAAUGACAAACCUUGCAGUCCCCAACAUACUCAAACGAAAGUUUCAUCUCUCACUCGUCAGUUACACAUCCCUCCGAAGCAGAUUUUACAUUCUUGAUAUACUUGUGAAGGACUCCCCGUCUGGCUUUGUAAGGUGGCUGGACCCAUUUGUUCCGUCUCUCCGCAAACUGCUCUUCGG
RNAcentral lists this unclassified non-coding RNA (224 nucleotides) under Hevea brasiliensis (rubber tree). Lineage: Eukaryota; Viridiplantae; Streptophyta; Magnoliopsida; Malpighiales; Euphorbiaceae. The record is from RNAcentral.